UCUCUUUCGCCGCUAUUGAGGACGACUGGGUGGUCGUUCCGGGACGCCGGAUGGCGGCCGAUGGCGGCAGGACGUCCCCGGGGCGGCUGGGAGCGCUGCUCGGAGGAGGCAGGGAUGACUCCAGCGAUGACGAGGCGACGUCGCUCGUC
This 149-nucleotide non-coding RNA is filed under the name Bicosoecida sp. CB-2014. Lineage: Eukaryota; Bigyra; Bicosoecida. The record is from RNAcentral.